Long non-coding RNA from Cyanistes caeruleus (blue tit), 1234 nucleotides. RefSeq lists it as uncharacterized. Lineage: Eukaryota; Metazoa; Chordata; Aves; Passeriformes; Paridae. The record is from RefSeq and is a predicted model, not a curated record.
AGGACAUUUGGCAGAGCUCUGCUGAGCUUUGUGCUGGUGUGUUACUGGAUCUCCUGGGGCUCCAAAUGGAAGCCAGAGCAGCAGCUGCAGGGUAGGGAAACAGAGGAAUGAAUCUCAUCCCACUGGCAACUGCUUCCCAGGAGAAUCUGCUGUAACAACAGCACAGGGCUGGCCAUGGAGAAGGCUGUGAGGCCUACAGCACAGCGACAGCAGUGUGGCCACAGCACAGGAAAGGAAGUCCUCUUAUCAACAUUCUAUGUGAUACAUGAGGAUUGAGCUGAACAGAGAAGAGCCUUCUGCACCAACAAGAGACCAAAAUCGGAGUUUGGAUGCAAAACCUUUCAUGUCAAAGUUUCCAAGCCUAAGCACAAAGACAAUGCUCUUCAUCCAUCUCAACAAAUUUUCAUAAGGACUUGAUUGCCUUGUAACCAGCUUAGACUGAGAGAAGUAAAAAUCCUCUUGGGGAAUCAAGUCAUAUUAAAUCACAAUAUCCAGGGCCUGACAACAUUUACUAGCACCUCAUCAUAAAGAAAACAGGUGUUUGUACACAGCAGCAGGUGCUACAAAAAUUUGCAACAAAAAACCAGUGCUGAGCGGGCUAACAAAAAAUCUGCAUCAAAGAUUGGAAGAUGGAGAAGACCAGAAUAAAGUCAGCAAAAAUUUCUGGAUUUGUGCACAAAUUAAAAUACCACAGCCUAUGUUAAAUGUGAGGGUCUCCUUUGUCUACCAAUGGCCACGGCAGAAGUGUGCCACAAGUGUGUGGAUGAGGGUGGCUCUCAGAAAUCUGCUCGCCCUGGGGACAUCUGGACAUCCUGCUCUGGCUCUGGGAGAACCAGUUCCACUGCCAGCCACGGCUACCCAUGACCACUGUGAGCAAUGCUGUUUCCCCCACUCCUGCUUGUGGCCCCCCAGUUGUUCCUGUGGCUGAUGGGACUCCUCAAACCUGCACUUGUGUUUCCCAUGUCUCCACUGCUUGCUCUGUAUCACAGCUUCUCAUCUUUAAUACUGUCCCCUCUCAGACCAGCUCGUCAUCUAGGACAAACCUCCAUGAGAUGCAACUAUAGCAAACCCAUUUUUUUCUGCAGUCUGAUGCAGCUUGACAGGGCACAGCUGAGCUUUCAUGGGGGCAAUUUGCAGUUUUAUCCACAAGAAAUAUGUGGGGAUGAUCUUACAUGACUGAACUGCUAUUUGCACUGGCAGACUGGAGUUUCUAACUCAUUUCUGUUGCAAUGGA